This 1796-nucleotide long non-coding RNA is filed under the name Phasianus colchicus (ring-necked pheasant). Its description in RNAcentral is "lncRNA (ENSPCLG00000009724.1)". Lineage: Eukaryota; Metazoa; Chordata; Aves; Galliformes; Phasianidae. The record is from RNAcentral.
GUCUCUUUAAGCUGUCCGUGGUAUAAACAAGCUUGGUUUCUGGGGCUGGGUGAAGAGGAUGAGAAUGCUCUGUACACAGCCAUGGUUGGUCAGGAUGGGGACUCUCCUUGCCAUGUGAUUUUAACAUCCAUUUCAAUGGUCAGGAGCAAGGCUUGGCAGACUGCAUGGCAAGUGGCACCUCCAGCUACAAAAUGCCCCAGCCAUCAGUGUGGGCAUCGCUCCUGACUUUGGGAACACAUCUAUGGACUCACCGAACGUGGUUGGACUUGAUGAUCUUAAAAGUCUUUUCCAACCUUAAUGAUUCUAUGGUUAGCUCCAUUGCAACCAGGCUUUCCUGAGAUGGCUGAUUUCCUUGGUGGUAUCCAGAGACGUAUCCAGAUGUUCUGCAAGCAUGGAGGUCCCGUUGGCUGCUUUUAGCUGGCUAACUUUCUCUGCUAUAGACCAGCAGCUCUAACCUGCAGGUUACGGGCAAGCCGGGACAGCAGAUCUCAUGGAGAAGGUUGACUCUUCUCUUCGCUGUCUUUCCUAUUUUGAUGAAACAAUAAGAAGGUGGAGUCGAAGUGAACAAUGAAGACACUGGGCUCUAUGAAGAAUGGUGGUCCUCCAUUUCUUCUCCUCCAUACCUACACCAGCAGACGUGUUAGGAGGAAUCUGGCCUUAUGUUAAAACCAAAGUGCCUGGUAGAUGCAGAUUGAGCAGAAUGGGUUUUGCUUACCCAAUCCUCACUGACAGGAGAAUUUUGGAGCUCAGUGUGGGCAGCUGCUUUAGAGAGGGUGGGCUCUAUGCCUCUUGGUGAUUGUGUCUUAAAUACAUUGGUUGCGCUACCCCUUAUUGGAAGACUUUAAAAGCUAUGAAAAUAAGAUGCAAUGAGUGAAUGAGUGCAGGCAUAGGGAGGGAGCCUGUCCCAGGUGGGCACGCAGCUUCAGGGACCUCUGCAUGGUCAGCAUGGGUCAACCCCACUGCUGGCAGGGGUGAGGCUUGCAUGGGUUAAAAACCUCAGACAAAACCUCUGUUGCUACAUUGCAUUGCUUGGGAAAUGCAAACAGAGGAAGGAGAGGUGGAGAAGAGCCAUAGGAAAUACCUUCUGCUUUAUCUUUUCCACCUCCGGGAACUUGGCCACAAACUUGAACCAAGCUCAAAUCAAACCAUCUCUAUGCAUCUCCAAAGAACGGCACGAAGAGUCUCAAAGCAUCUCCUUGGCUCUUGAUUGGAAACCCCAAACUCCUGUGGUCGGAGACACGAUGCCAAAAUGUGGGCCUGACCUCCAAAACGAGUGGUAGAACAGGGAAUGAAGUAUGGGAGCUGACCUUGUUCCUGAGCUAGCUUAAGUGUUCAGCAUUGCUCCAGCUGCCAAACCUUCAUCCUCAGCACCAACAGCCAGAGAUGUUUUUGGGCUUCAGCUUGAACAAGCAGACCCAGUUGUUCUUUUUGCCAUUUCAAGUCACGGAGGGGAAAGGGCAUAAUUACUGCUUCUAGUUCUUCAUUAUUGCUGCAGAGAUCUGAACUCUUUUGAGAACUUGUUGGAACAGCCCCAUCGGGUGCAUGGAAAUGGAAAUCUGCUGAGUUUUUUUCCUCUCUUUAGUUAGCAGAAGCAGUUUUCUGCAACUGGAUUAUUUAUAUAUAAACAGGUCUGCCCUGAACACUGAAUGCAGGUCAUGGAGUGUUCUCCCGUGGGAUGUGGUCAUGCAAAGUCCCACCCAUUGACUCACUGUUUGGGCCAAAGAGGUAACCUUAGUCUGGCUUUUCGAGGCUGUAUGCAAUGCAAUAGAACUCAGCAAACAUUCAAGAUCAGGCUG